This 399-nucleotide ribosomal RNA is filed under the name uncultured bacterium. RNAcentral's name for it is "bacterial SSU rRNA". It matches the Rfam family "Bacterial small subunit ribosomal RNA", at positions 362 to 776 of the family's 1533-position model. The record is from RNAcentral.
UAUNGCACACUGGGCGCAAGCCUGAUGCAGCNACGCCGCGUGAGCGAAGAAGGUCUUCGGAGCGUAAAGCUCUGUCCUUGAGGAAGAAGGAAGUGACGGUACUCAAGGAGGAAUCCCCGGCUAACUACGUGCCAGCAGCCGCGGUAAUACGUAGGGGGCAAGCGUUAUCCGGAAUUAUUGGGCGUAAAGAGUACGUAGGUGGUUUUGUAAGCGCGGGGUGAAAGGCAGUGGCUUAACCAUUGUAAGCCUUGCGAACUGCAAGACUUGAGUGCAGGAGAGGAAAGCGGAAUUCCUAGUGUAGCGGUGAAAUGCUUAGAUAUUAGGAGGAACACCAGUGGCGAAGGCAGCUUUCUGGACUGUAACUGACACUGAGGUACGAAAGCGUGGGGAGCAAACAGG